UAUAGUCUAAACAAAUUCAAAUAAAAAAGUUUAAAUAUAUAAAAGGUGUUUAUGGGGACGAAAAAUACCGAGAUACAGUAGACCACUUCCCAGUUGUCCUCUUUUAGCGGGUAACCACUGUGCAGGGGCAGAAAACAAGACGCGUCAGGGCAGACUGCACAACUUAAACUGCAAGUACAUGAAAGCGAAGGGAACGAGAGAGAGGGAGGAGGAGGAAAGAACGGGCCAGAGGGAGAUGGCGAUAGCGAGGGCGAGCGAGAAAGCGAAAGGGGAUCAGAUGAUGCACGUGUGUGUUACUGCGAGAGAGCUGCUUACUGGCUUGCACUUACACUCUCUCCUCGCUUUAUUGCAUAACAUCCUUGAACUUGAGCUGGGCUUGCCAGAGUUCCUUUUUUACUUUUUUUUUCUGGCAGUAGGACGCUCGGUUCCUUUCGCCACAUAGCCAUAGCUGCCUUCUGGACCCCCCAUUUUUCCCUUGCCCCUACACACUGGCUCGUUUCUUCUCUCCUCUCUUCGCAUCGGAAGCUUUCGGGCUUUUAAGCAAACGACGACGACGGCUCUGCCAUUUUCUGCUGGGCUGCGCGUUGGCAUUGAAAGUGCGGCAGGCAAGCUGCCAACAACGCUCCAUUCCCAGCAAAUCUCCAAUCGGAACCAGAAGAAUUCUAAACACAACGAAUAGUACUUUAAUACCACAAAAAGCCAACAAACAAUUCCCCUUUAAUUUGUUACAAAUUAGACACGCAAAUGACAUCAACAGCUAAAUUGAAUUUGUCAGAACCAACCCAAUCACAAUACAAAAGCAAACAACAAUGCAAAAUAAUUGCAAAUUAAUUGUGUUCAAUUCUACUAGAAGUGCUUGUCAAAUUAAAAAAAAAAUACUUAAGCUAAAAUAAAUAUAAAUUAUACCUUGCCCAAAAUAAUUAAAUCAUUUAACCUGCAUUCUAUAGUGCGCUCCGGAAUCACGGAAAUAAAGAACGGAAGAAAGGAAAGAGAGAGAGAGAGAGAGAGAAAUGGAUUUCAAAAUGCAAGCGCAUUUCACAACUAUUUUAAAUACGUGCCCCAAACCAAAGAACAUAAAUUCAACUAAGAUUUUAAAAGGGUGGUGAGCUGCGUCAGCAUGGAAAUUUAAUUAGCGACAGUUCAGUUCAGCUGAGCAGCGCUAAGUCGAAAGGAUUUGACUGACCCGCCCUCUAAAUCCACCCACCCACCACCGGCCGAAAAGGGGGUGGGAGAUUUCGUUGAUUUUUGCAUGACGACAGCAAAAAGCGAAAAGGCGGAACAACAAUCGAAAUGCAACUGAACGUGUGUGUGUUGGUGUGCGAGCGAGGCGGCCUAUAUAAAGCAGACAUGCGCUCUCACUCAGAGACUUGAACUUGAAAACUCUUAACUGCCGGCAAAAAUCGAGAGAAUCAGAAAGAGAGACACAGCAGGUAUGUGUUUUGUAUGAGGAGCUGUUUGCCAUUGAUUAAGUUAAACAAAAACAAAAUCAGAGCAGAGUACUAGCUUCGCUCUCAUAGCGUUUGCUCUUUUGCGAGAGUGUGAGUGUGUGAGAGAGGAGCUUUUGCGUGGGCGGCUUAAGGCAGCACAGUCGACGUCGCUGCCAGCGUCGGCCAACUGUUUGCUGUUUUGUUGUAGUGUAGUCACAUACUGUUGCAUACCUAAGGGGAUAGGAGGAUAUGGGAGAAAAUCGGACGAUAAGCGGGGUGAAAGGCGGGAAAAUCGGGAAGUGGAGGAGGGAAAGUGACCUCCACCUGUGCGAGCCCAGCUGCAGCUUCCCUGUUGGCCAAGUUUAUUCGGUGACGAGCGGGCGGCCGAUGAGGUCAGCAUCACGCAUACGCCUAGUUAUCCCCUGUAUCCCGUAUCCAAUGUUCAGUGUCGGUAUCGGUGUGUGCAAGUGCUUGUUGGUGUGUGUUUUGUUUUUCCCAAGUUCAUUUUAAAGGCGCGUCGCCCUUAAUAGCAAAAUCAGGUGUGGAGAAUUGAUUAGCACAGCCCAAAAUAGGAGAAAAAUUCAAACAAUAUGGUUGGUGUUUUGUGUAUGUACGUACUUACAUAGAACUCAAGUGACGCACACCAGCAUAUGGCAAUUAAAUUUGAAUAAUUAAGCAGCUGAGAACAACACGAACCGAACUCUCCGAACAUAUGUAUGUAUAAUACCAACACACACUUUGGGCAUGUGCAACACUCGUUCUUGUUGUCUUGCACCUUGACCUUUCCACACCCAUGCAGCAAUACGCGUGGGCAGCACUCGGAUACACACGCCCAUUUUGAGGGGAUCGGGAAUAUGGAUAUACAUAUAUACUCGUUUAUGUGGAACAACCCACAAGUUGGCUGGCAGCUGUUGGAGCCGAACCCAAGGAGACGAGAUGCAAGCCAAAAGCACUUCGGUUAUAUCCCAGAAAAGGUCCAGUUUGGCCAACGGAAAGUUUUGGACACAGGUCACAGAUGGCAAAAGUGCAAUAAAUUAAAUAUCAAGAAAAGACAAAAAAAUAGUGUGCAGUUAAAAUAGUACAAGAGUUUUUGAAGGGUUUAGAUAAAGUUAUUAAAUAAAAUAACUUGUGAAAAUAGGUUUGUUGAACUAAAAUAAAUCAGAAAACAAUUUAUAAGGGCUAGAAACAAAGUUUAAAUGAAUUGUUUAUUAUAUAUGCUCUACAAUUUAUGGUGAGUCUAUGAGAAGGGCCGUAUUUAUACAUAUCUUGUAUC
Drosophila gunungcola (fruit fly) is the source of this 2700-nucleotide long non-coding RNA. RefSeq lists it as uncharacterized. Lineage: Eukaryota; Metazoa; Arthropoda; Insecta; Diptera; Drosophilidae. The transcript is spliced from 3 exons. The record is from RefSeq and is a predicted model, not a curated record.